Molecule: long non-coding RNA, 598 nt
Organism: Micropterus salmoides (largemouth bass)
Lineage: Eukaryota; Metazoa; Chordata; Actinopteri; Centrarchiformes; Centrarchidae
Exons: 3
Source: RefSeq, a predicted model, not a curated record
UUCACUGUAGAGGCUCUAUCCACAACGUGGAGGAGUAUAAAUGCGUGUACUUGCUAAAUAGCCAGCUAGGCAAACACAAAGCCCUCUCUCUCUGUCUCAGACGAGAGGGAUUCACAGCGGUGAACGAUUAGCGGCCGGGUUAUGUGUGAUGGAACAUCAUUUCCAUCCUGAGCUGGUGGACAAGGUGAAGACUCUUCAUUUAACUUCAGGUUUUCCUGGCCUCUUCAAAUGUGGAAAAGGCUGAGGAUGGACCUGGGAGAGAGAUACAGAGAGACAGCAAAUGGGCUCGAGAGAGAUGGAAAAACACAAGAUGACUGUCAUUUACCCAGUGGACAGCCCCAUCACCUCAGCAGAGAGAGAGAGAUUUAGGCUUCAAAUUUAAUUUGUGAUUUGUGAACUGUAAAUUCUGUGCGCAAAAGUGGCAACAGUGGCUUUACACAAUCCUGCGCACGGAUCUCUUUUCCUCUUAUGAUAUUUGCCAGUCAUAUGCCGUCAUAGACAAAUGCUUUAUUGUCUUACAGUGAAAUGUAUCUGGUGUUCCCUCUUUAUUUGUAAGCAAAACCUCUUAAUGAAAAUGGAAAUUGCCUGGUAUAAUUUU